Molecule: long non-coding RNA, 777 nt
Organism: Oryza brachyantha (malo sina)
Lineage: Eukaryota; Viridiplantae; Streptophyta; Magnoliopsida; Poales; Poaceae
Exons: 2
Source: RefSeq, a predicted model, not a curated record
CAUUACGAAAUGGAGAGAGUAUAAGGUUUGAUAUUUUUAUUUUCAAUGUUAUGGUUAGUGCAAUGUUCAGAGUUGGAAGUAGAGAAGAAAGCUAAGGAAUUAUUUACUGCUUUCAUUACUUACAUGUUGGUGCCUAGUAUAUACAUACAGCAUGUUGAUGACAAACCUUAUAAAGGAAGAGUUGUUCGAAGAGGCAAGUGGCUGUUCCCAACUCUCGUAUGUUAAAUCAGGGUGUCAGAAUGUUUCUCAAGAAAGGUGAGAUAGUGAAGGCAAGAAAUCAUAUGUCUAAAUUUGACAAGAAGGGUAUCCCACUUGAAGCUUCAACCAGACAACCACUUCAUUGUUGGUCUCUCUUUUCAGAGAAAGGGAAAUGCCAUGAAUACAUAAAAUUGCUUCCUGCAAACUAUCAGUUUUUUUAGGAAGUAAGCAAGAGCUGGUAGUUAUCUCUGAAGUCAAACCUCAGAAGGCAGGGUGGACUGUUGCUGCAAAGGAAAUAUUUCAUGAGAUGACUGAAAGUGGAACAGCAGUGAGCAUUCAUACAUACGGUAUUGUACUCUGUGGACUUUCUAGAAAUAAUUGCAGUGAUGAAGUAAUCAUGCUGUUAGAGAAAUUGUUUGCAAUGAACGUAAAGUUUGAUAUUGUUAUUUUCAACGUAAUGAUUAGUUCAAUGUUCAAAGUUGGCAGAAGAGAAGAAGCUAAGGAAGUGUUUGCUGCUAUGUCUACUUACGGUUUGGUUCCUAGCAUACAUACCUACUGUGUAAUGAUAAUAAAUCUUAU